GACGAACGCUGGCGGCGUGCUUAACACAUGCAAGUCGAGCGGAAAGGCCCUUUCGGGGGUACUCGAGCGGCGAACGGGUGAGUAACACGUGAGUAAUCUGCCCUUGGCUUUGGGAUAACCACCGGAAACGGUGGCUAAUACCGGAUAUGACGGGCUCCGGCAUCGGGGUUCGUGGAAAGUUUUUUCGGCCAGGGAUGUGCUCGCGGCCUAUCAGCUUGUUGGUGGGGUAAUGGCCUACCAAGGCUUCGACGGGUAGCCGGCCUGAGAGGGUGACCGGCCACACUGGGACUGAGACACGGCCCAGACUCCUACGGGAGGCAGCAGUGGGGAAUAUUGGACAAUGGGCGGAAGCCUGAUCCAGCAACGCCGCGUGAGGGAUGACGGCCUCGGUGUAAACCUCUUUCAGUACCGACGAAGCG
RNAcentral lists this ribosomal RNA (419 nucleotides) under uncultured bacterium. Its description in RNAcentral is "bacterial SSU rRNA". It matches the Rfam family "Bacterial small subunit ribosomal RNA", at positions 28 to 452 of the family's 1533-position model. The record is from RNAcentral.